Molecule: unclassified non-coding RNA, 731 nt
Filed under: Homo sapiens (human)
Lineage: Eukaryota; Metazoa; Chordata; Mammalia; Primates; Hominidae
Description: TatD DNase domain containing 1 (ENSG00000291730.1)
Source: RNAcentral
AAGUACAAUGAUCCAGUCGGCAUCAGUAGAACGAGAGGGAGAAUGCUGCGGGAUUUAAAUGGGCAUGAUCCUCGUUUUGUGGGGUUUCCAGCUACCUGAAGGUGGGAAAUGACAGUGAUCACACCUCUGCUUUAGCAAGAUAUUGGUAUCAACUUGACUGACCCUAUGUUCAGAGGAAUUUAUAGGGGGGUUCAAAAGCAUCAAGAUGACUUACAGGAUGUAAUAGGGAGAGCUGUCGAGAUUGGUGUUAAAAAGUUUAUGAUUACAGGUGGAAAUCUACAAGACAGUAAAGAUGCACUGCAUUUGGCACAAACAAAUGGUAUGUUUUUCAGUACAGUUGGAUGUCAUCCUACAAGAUGUGGUGAAUUUGAAAAGAAUAACCCUGAUCUUUACUUAAAGGAGUUGCUAAAUCUUGCUGAAAACAAUAAAGGGAAAGUUGUGGCAAUAGGAGAAUGCGGACUUGAUUUUGACCGACUGCAGUUUUGUCCCAAAGAUACUCAACUCAAAUAUUUUGAAAAACAGUUUGAACUGUCAGAACAAACAAAAUUACCAAUGUUUCUUCAUUGUCGAAACUCACAUGCUGAAUUUUUGGACAUAAUGAAAAGAAAUAGAGAUCGGUGUGUAGGGGGAGUGGUGCAUUCAUUUGAUGGUACCAAGGAAGCAGCAGCUGCUUUGAUUGACUUGGAUCUUUAUAUAGGAUUUAAUGCUCACUGAAAACUGAAGCUAAUUUG